AGGUGUAUUUGUUCGUGGUUUAACUUACCGUUAACGAACGAGAACCUUAACCUGACUAAAUAAGUUAAACCUGAUUUUUAUCAGGUUGACAACUUCUUAGAGGGACUAUCGGUGUUUAACCGAUGGAAGUUUGAGGCAAUAACAGGUCUGUGAUGCCCUUAGAUGUUCUGGGCCGCACGCGCGCUACACUGAUAAAGUCAACAAGUAAUUAACCUUUGCCGGAAGGCAUGGGUAAUCUUUUGAAACUUUAUCGUGCUGGGGAUAGGGCAUUGCAAUG
RNAcentral lists this ribosomal RNA (277 nucleotides) under uncultured fungus. Its description in RNAcentral is "partial small subunit ribosomal RNA". It matches the Rfam family "Eukaryotic small subunit ribosomal RNA", at positions 1299 to 1591 of the family's 1831-position model. The record is from RNAcentral. Lineage: Eukaryota; Fungi.